RNAcentral lists this ribosomal RNA (490 nucleotides) under uncultured bacterium. RNAcentral describes it as "partial 16S ribosomal RNA". It matches the Rfam family "Bacterial small subunit ribosomal RNA", at positions 30 to 507 of the family's 1533-position model. The record is from RNAcentral.
AUUGAACGCUGGCGGCAGGCCUAACACAUGCAAGUCGAACGGUAACAGGAAGACGCUUGCUUCUUUGCUGACGAGUGGCGGACGGGUGAGUAAUGUCUGGGAAACUGCCUGAUGGAGGGGGAUAACUACUGGAAACGGUAGCUAAUACCGCAUAACGUCGCAAGACCAAAAAGGGGGACCUUCGGGCCUCUUGCCAUCGGAUGUGCCCAGAUGGGAUUAGCUAGUAGGUGGGGUAACGGCUCACCUAGGCGACGAUCCCUAGCUGGUCUGAGAGGAUGACCAGCCACACUGGAACUGAGACACGGUCCAGACUCCUACGGGAGGCAGCAGUGGGGAAUAUUGCACAAUGGGCGCAAGCCUGAUGCAGCCAUGCCGCGUGUAUGAAGAAGGCCUUCGGGUUGUAAAGUACUUUCAGCGGGAAGGAAGGGAGUAAAGUUAAUACCUUUGCUCAUUGACGUUACCCGCAGAAGAAGCACCGGCUAACUCCGUG